AAACCAACCGGGAUUGCCUCAGUAACGGCGAGUGAAGCGGCAAGAGCUCAAAUUUGAAAGCUGGCUCCUUCGGGGUCCGCAUUGUAAUUUGCAGAGGAUGCUUCGGGUGCAGCCCCCGUCUAAGUGCCCUGGAACGGGCCGUCAUAGAGGGUGAGAAUCCCGUAUGGGGCGGGGUGUCUGCGUCCGUGUGAAGCUCCUUCGACGAGUCGAGUUGUUUGGGAAUGCAGCUCUAAAUGGGUGGUAAAUUUCAUCUAAAGCUAAAUACUGGCCGGAGACCGAUAGCGCACAAGUAGAGUGAUCGAAAGAUGAAAAGCACUUUGAAAAGAGAGUUAAACAGCACGUGAAAUUGUUGAAAGGGAAGCGCUUGCAACCAGACUCGCUCGCGGGGUUCAGCCGGGCUUCGGCCCGGUGUACUUCCCCGCGGGCGGGCCAGCGUCGGUUUGGGCGGCCGGUCAAAGGCCUCCGGAAUGUAGCGCCCUUCGGGGCGCCUUAUAGCCGGGGGUGCAAUGCGGCCAGCCUGGACCGAGGAACGCGCUUCGGCACGGACGCUGGCAUAAUGGUUGUAAACGAC
This 571-nucleotide ribosomal RNA is filed under the name Aspergillus sp. RNAcentral's name for it is "partial large subunit ribosomal RNA". It matches the Rfam family "Eukaryotic large subunit ribosomal RNA", at positions 62 to 648 of the family's 3401-position model. The record is from RNAcentral. Lineage: Eukaryota; Fungi; Ascomycota; Eurotiomycetes; Eurotiales; Aspergillaceae.